CCUAUCAUGCAGUCGAGCGAAUGGAUUAAGAGCUUGCUCUUAUGAAGUUAGCGGCGGACGGGUGAGUAACACGUGGGUAACCUGCCCAUAAGACUGGGAUAACUCCGGGAAACCGGGGCUAAUACCGGAUAACAUUUUGAACCGCAUGGUUCGAAAUUGAAAGGCGGCUUCGGCUGUCACUUAUGGAUGGACCCGCGUCGCAUUAGCUAGUUGGUGAGGUAACGGCUCACCAAGGCAACGAUGCGUAGCCGACCUGAGAGGGUGAUCGGCCACACUGGGACUGAGACACGGCCCAGACUCCUACGGGAGGCAGCAGUAGGGAAUCUUCCGCAAUGGACGAAAGUCUGACGGAGCAACGCCGCGUGAGUGAUGAAGGCUUUCGGGUCGUAAAACUCUGUUGUUAGGGAAGAACAAGUGCUAGUUGAAUAAGCUGGCACCUUGACGGUACCUAACCAGAAAGCCACGGCUAACUACGUGCCAGCAGCCGCGGUAAUACGUAGGUGGCAAGCGUUAUCCGGAAUUAUUGGGCGUAAAGCGCGCGCAGGUGGUUUCUUAAGUCUGAUGUGAAAGCCCACGGCUCAACCGUGGAGGGUCAUUGGAAACUGGGAGACUUGAGUGCAGAAGAGGAAAGUGGAAUUCCAUGUGUAGCGGUGAAAUGCGUAAAGAUAUGGAGGAACACCAGUGGCGAAGGCGACUUUCUGGUCUGUAACUGACACUGAGGCGCGAAAGCGUGGGGGAGCAAACAGGCUUAGAUACCCUGG
Molecule: ribosomal RNA, 761 nt
Filed under: Bacillus cereus
Lineage: Bacteria; Bacillati; Bacillota; Bacilli; Caryophanales; Bacillaceae
Description: bacterial SSU rRNA
Rfam family: Bacterial small subunit ribosomal RNA
Source: RNAcentral